RNAcentral lists this non-coding RNA (27 nucleotides) under Bombyx mori (domestic silkworm). The record is from RNAcentral. Lineage: Eukaryota; Metazoa; Arthropoda; Insecta; Lepidoptera; Bombycidae.
UUCAAUAGUGUUAAUAAACUUUAAUGA